GACAGAGGUGCCGAGCGUUAGGCGGAAUCACUGGGCGUAAAGCGCACGUAGGCGGGUUCUUAAGUCAGGGGUGAAAUCCUGGAGCUCAACUCCAGAACUGCCUUUGAUACUGGGAAUCUCGAGUCCGGGAGAGGUGAGUGGAACUGCGAGUGUAGAGGUGAAAUUCGUAGAUAUUCGCAAGAACACCAGUGGCGAAGGCGGCUCACUGGCCCGGUACUGACGCUGAGGUGCGAAAGCGUGGGGAGCAAACAGG
This 253-nucleotide ribosomal RNA is filed under the name uncultured bacterium. RNAcentral describes it as "partial 16S ribosomal RNA". It matches the Rfam family "Bacterial small subunit ribosomal RNA", at positions 524 to 776 of the family's 1533-position model. The record is from RNAcentral.